GUUUCUACUUCCUCCCCUUCUUUCACAUACAUCCUAUGAUUGAAUAUUUCAAAAUCUUAAGAAUGUGUGGAGGUGGCAUGCUCUGCAAAUAUAUUUUGUAAGAUCUAGGUAGUCAUAUGGUCACAUAGGUGGGGCUCAGGAAGGCUUAGUGCUAAAUGAAGUCUGAUGAUGCCUCUUAGAAGUUGGACACUCUCUGCAGCAUUUCCUUUCUUAGUUCUACUGGGACAUGUGGCUCUAAAGCGAAUCUGAUGUGCCAUCAAAAUAUUUUAGCCUCUCUACUCCUCAGAUAAUUUUGGUUAUACCAAGGCUAUGUAGAAAAAGUGAUCUGGGAUAAGAAUCUUGCUACUAGUACUUAUCUUUAAAAAAAUCAUCUUCAUAAAAAAAUGUUGGAUGCUAUAAAAAAAAGGAAAAAGAAGAAGAAGCAAUCAUAAUCACACUACUCUAACAUAACAACUCUAAAAUAUUUGAUUAGUUCUUUUAUAUAGUGAAACACACACACACUCAUAUCAGCAGUGUAUCAGUAGUGGUGCACUAGAGCCAGUUUAGACAGUUUUGUAUAUCUCCCUGAAUCCACAACCCCAUAUUGAUGUUGAAAAAUUGAAAUUAGCCAUGGUUGGAGUAUUUGUAUCAUGGGAAUUGGCAAAUGCUCUAAAUCAAGGCUUCUCCUCCAGCCCCUGGAAAACUGGUUGAUGAAGAGCAUCUACCAGCGCAUCACUCUGCUUGGGGUGUGUGUGUGUGUGUGUGUGUGUGUGUUUGUGUUUUAAAAUCUUUUGAGCUCUUUAAGAACAGGAUUUUUUUUGUGAUUUUUGUGUGUUCCAAUAGGACCUAACACAUCACUUGAUAAAUUUAGUGGAUAUUUAUUAAAUGCCUGACAGAUUAAAGAAUGUAUGAAGGAAGAAAGGGUUAGAAUUCUGGAUAACAUUUUAACAACAGAUUUGAUACAUUGGUUGACUAAUAUUUUAUGAAUAAGUAGUUCCUCAAACCCAGAGAAAAGUGGCAGUUUUGCAGUUUGCUGUGGAACUUGUUGAAUUAAUAGAAAUUGUUUUUUCUCCAAUUCCAGAAUCAUUAAACAUCCAUUGAAUUGCCCACAGAGUGGAACCCACUGUAUUGCCCUGCAAGGUAAAAAGAACUUUCCAACUAACAGCCUUUCACUGUGGAAUGGGCCCCUGCGGGAUAUUAUGUUUCCUCUUCUGAGAGGUGGACUGGCUCAGGGGCCCUGAGCAUUUGAGGCUGGGGGGAGUAUCACUGAGAUGAUCAAAGAAUCCCAUGUUGUGGAAUGAUCUUUAUGACCCAGCCAAUCCCAGGACCAUGGUACCGAGAGUUUCCCCAUCCCCAUUGCUCUCCAGCAACAAGAAAGUGCAAGCCUGAGGAUGAAUCUUGCUAUUUCAACCACCGGCCUUGUGAUUAGUGGAAAUCUUGAUUACUCUUUAUGGGAAAAAGAUUUUUAACUUUUUAGUUAACCACUAUCUUCAUAACUUCAGUGCAGAAGCUAAGAAUUGUGAAAAAGCUUUUACUCUUCUUGUCCAUUAUCUGUUUAUCCUAGGUAGAGUUUUAAUAUCUAGUUUACCUUUUUGGGGAAGCGACAGAGUACUAAAAUACUUUCAAGAGUAUACAUAUAUACAUAUACAUAUAUGUAUGUAUAUACUAUAUAUAUGUAUAUACAGAUCAAUAUAUUAAUCUGGUUUGACAUCACAGCACCAAUGUUUAUAAAACUAUAAUAUUAUAAUUGCUAUUACAAUAAUAUUAAUUACUAUUUGUAAGGAAGUCAUCUAACUUUCACAGAAACUUAUUAACAUACGGAAAUACAAAGGAUCAUUUUUCUGUUAAGAAGAGACAACUAAGAUGCAAAAAUAAAGAGAAAAGCUUUGUACUGGAGAAGAUAUCUAAAGCUAAAAAUUGCUUUUAUUAAUCUUGCUAAUAGAGUAUAUUAUCUAUAUAAAUAGUUUUAAUAUCCUUAAUGAAAAUAAGAAAAUACAGUGAAUUCCCUUAAUUCGCUGUAAAAUUGUUGAGAUUUCAGUCAAACCAUGACCAUUAUGUGUAGUAAAAGAGUGCCGUAUCUAAGACUUACACAGUGUUUUGGAUUUUACGUAGUGUUUCCAGAGAUAUUAUUUCCUUUUAGUCCUCACAGCAGUCCUCAUUGUGUAUGGUAGAUGAGGAAUAUCAGUUACAGACUUAGCCAAGAUUAUAAACAUGGAAACAUGAACCCAAUUUACUAACUCACAAAGUAGUUCUUGUCCCAGCUGAAGUCUCUUCUUAUCCGCCUGGCCUUAUCUAGAUGUCAUUUUGAAUACAUCAGUUCUAACAGACUUGAAAUAAAAAUUGGAAUGACCCAAAUGGGACAUAUCUAGUUACUGCUAGAUUCCCCAUGGCAGAUUUCCACAUGUGAACUUUCUCUCAUUUAAACAAUCCCAUCUCACAACAGAGUGUUACUCUAUCAAAACCAGUAGUCUAGCAGGGCUUGAGAGGAAAGUGGUAGAGAAAGCUAAGGGAGGCAAAUGACAAUAUUGUAGCAGUCGAUGCCUUUAAGGAGCACCUGGGUCUGGCUCUCUAUUGAUCUGCUUUUGAAGUCUGUUCUAAACUACAACAACUGCUUUUCCUGUCCGUGAAAGACCCUUCAAAAACAAAAUAAGACCUUGUGUUUGUUAUCCCUUUCCCUCCAGGUGGGGAGUGAAUUGAGACAGAGUGGAGGGCUCAACCUGACAUCACUGUUCAUCAUUGUGAAGUAAAACUGUCCAUCCCUUGCAGGUGGCAGGGAAAACAAAGGCUGCUGGGGAAAUGGGCCUGUUCAUUGUUCAUUGCCUGUUCAAUGUCAGACACCCUCCUAGGUGGUUCUGAAGGUGGAAUUCUAAUUUUUUUUCUUCCUUCUGUUCAUGUCAAAUUGCAUGCAGAAUUGAGAGGCUUUACUGUAUUGACAAUACUAAACUCGCCAAAGAAGGUGAAGCUGCCAGUAAGUUUCUGCUUUUGGUUUGCUUACAGAUAUGCAGAUGGGAGAUAUAAAACACAAUCAAGUUUUCCUAACAGCUUUCCACAAUUAAUUAGGUUUUCUCUAAAAAGGAAAUAUUUCGUUGUGUUAGAUACUUCAUGGACUCUUAGACGGUGGAGGGGCCGCGGAAGUUGUCUCAUUCACUCCUCCCUCCCCCGCAUGCCAGAAUUUUCUCCCUCUCUAUGACUUCUUUUAGUGGGAAGGAGUCCACAUCUUCAGGAGGAAGUCUUGGUUGGACACCUCAAACGAUUAUAAAUUAGUUCCUUACAUUAAUAUAAAAUCUAUUUUUCUGGCAUUCUUUCCCAUGGUUCUAAUGUACAUUUGUGGAUUUACAUAGGAUAUCUAAUCUCCUUUCACACAAGAUCACGUCAUCUACACCAAAACAUCAAUCAUGGCCUCCCUAAGCCUUCUUUUUUCCAGGAUUAAUGUUUCUGUUUCAUUUAAUCAUAUGUCACAUGAUGUGGUUUGCAGAUCCAUUAUCCUUCCUGUGGGCCUCCUCUAGACAGUCCCUAACUGGCUGAUGCUUCACUUAACUCCAGUCCUGUGCUUACGAUUUCCAUUACUGUUCCUUGCAUGAUUACUUUUAAAAACUACAUGGUGCUCUUUGGAAUAAAUGUUUGAAAGUCAACCUCAUAAAAAUGUAAAGACUGUAACAGAGGUCGAGGGGGCAGUGGCUGGAAAGGAGAUUCAGCAAUGGAAGUAGCCAAAGUACAAUUUUGGAAACUCGAUUGUUCUCUUAGUCCAUUACAAAUUAAACAUUCCCAGGCCAGCAGGUUUCCUCCUGCAUCUGCUGAAAUCCCUCAGCAUGUUAUUGAUGCUUCUCUAGUGACACUGAUAUUUUUCGUCUCUGCAUUACCAUACAUCUUUCUGCUGUGAAUGAAUGAAUAAUCACCUUAUGCCUCCCUAACUCUGGAUAUCUGAAUAGAAGCUGUAUUGCUCAUUUUGCUUCUCUCUGAAACAUUCCUGGUCAAAUUUCCAGCUGACAGUAAAAUUGCCAAGAGCUCUACCCCUGAAGAGUGGCUUAUUUACAUUCCUCCUGUUAUAAAUACUGCAUUAGGUGUAACUAGUAAGUAAAUACAGAACUAGAGUAACAAACACAAUUGCUAAAUCUCAAGUCUAAACUUUGUCUCACAGUAUGCAAGUGAAUAAGUAAUAAUAAUAAUAUAAUAUCAAUGGCAGCAACAUAAUAGUGAAACUAUAUUGUACCUUUAUCAUAUGUGAGUCACUAUGCUAAGCACUUUACAUAUACUAUAUAUUAAUAACUUAAUCCUUAAACUACUCACAGAUUUGGAGAAGUUAAGGAACAUGCCAAAGCUAAGUUGCAUGUAGCAGAGCCAGGAUUCAAACCUAGAUUUUUUUUAAGCCCAUUCUCUCAAUCAUUAUAUUAUAAUACUUUAAAUUUAAUAGAGUCUAAGUAAAUUUUGAUUAGCAAUUCUUCUUCCUCAAAAUGAAGUUCAGAGGUUUUGCAGACCUUGUGGUUACUUCCGGUUCAAUAAUCAACAGCACAAUGGGUGAGUGAGUGGAAAUACCCUCUUUCUUAAGUUAGACUUUCUUCCAUUUUUGAUAGAGAGGAUCUGAAGUUGGCAGCAUCUUUAAAGUGCCUCUUUAGUUGGCUUUUGACAUUUGCUGGAACAAAGAGUUUAAAUAAAUAGAAGGAAAAUUCUACUGAAGAACAUAUUUAAUAUAGGAAUCAUGGAAAAGUCAAGCUAAAUAGAGAUGUACUAAUGGACCAGUGAAAAUCAAUGUUGCAUGUAAAGACAAACAGGGUUUUAAAAAUAGAUUUAGGGGGUAUGUGUGCAGGUUUGUUACAUGAGUAUAUUGCAUAAUGCUGUGGUUUGGACUUUUACUGAAAGCAUCACUCAAAUAGUGAACAUAGUACCCAAUAGGUAGUUUUUCAACCCUUGCCCCUGACACCUCCCUCCCUGCUGUUGGAGUCCCCAGAGUCUGUUGAGAAACAGCGUUUUAUUUUGCUGUGUGGUGUGGAAGAAUAUAUGCUUUAGAUUCUAGGGUGGAAGAGAGUUUCCAUAAACAAAUAUAGCUAUAGGGGUAGCUUGACUAAUAGAGUGUACAGUGGAACUUUUACAACCCACUUUCUGGAUACUCUAAUUCUGUUAAUGCGUGAGUGUUUUCAAGAGCUUCAUUGUUUUAUUGUCCCCGUUACACUUUCAGGUCACACUGAGCUUGCAGUCAAAGGGAGACUUCAGGUUUGUUUCAGAUAAGCUUCUGUAUAACUGGUACGUCUUCAAGUGAUGGGUUAUUUAAACCCACACACUGGCUUUAUACAUAAAUCUACUUAAUUACAUGUUAUUAAAUUCAAUUUGGCUUUUCAUCAUGUUGUUUUUUGAAUCUGAUAGAUCAUGUGGUAUAUUCCCUUUCACCCUCAGAUGUGUGACAUCUACCACUAAUAGCAGGUCAUAUCAGAUGAGAGAGUUAUGGGCCCUCACUUGAGUUAGCAAUUGCCAUCAAGGGCCGGGCGGGGUGGCUCAUGCCUGUAAUCCCAGCACUUUGGGAGGCCGAGGCGGGCGGAUCACGAGGUCAGGAAAUUGAGACCAUCCUGGCUAACACAGUGAAACCCCGUCUCUGCUAAAAAUACAAAAAAUUAUCCGAGUGUGGUGGCGGGCACCUGUAGUCCCAGCUACUCAAGAGGCUGAGGCAGGAGAAUGGCUUGAACCUAGGAGGCAGAGCUUGCAGUGAGCCAAGAUUGCGCCACCCACUCCAGCCUGGGCAAUAGAGCGAGACUCCAUCUCAAAAAAAAACAAAGAACAAAAAACAAACAAACAAACAAAAAACAAAGAAAAAUUGCCAUCAAGUUUUUAUUGACUUAUUGUCCCAGACAGUAUAACUGGGCUCUAAAGCAUUUGGAAAUUUUAAACUCCGUAAGCAACCAACUGACUGUUGUACAUGUUCUGAUCUUAUUGACAGAAUGCUUUUCUUCCCACUCAAACAGACUUUUCUCCCUUUUCUAAUGAUAGUAUCUUUGUAUCCUGUCAAAGUAAAUAUGCAAAAUUUCUGUAAUUCUCUUAAUACUUAUUGGUUGUAACUCACUAGUAUCUUGGGCAUGGAAGGUUUUGGUGUGGAUACAAGUUCAGUCAACCCCUGAAAACAGUAGGGGAUAAAUGAGAUCUCGAAGUUGGAAAUGAGGAAGGAUA
RNAcentral lists this long non-coding RNA (6132 nucleotides) under Pan troglodytes (chimpanzee). RNAcentral's name for it is "long non-coding RNA NONPTRT001505". Lineage: Eukaryota; Metazoa; Chordata; Mammalia; Primates; Hominidae. The record is from RNAcentral.